GACGAACGCUGGCGGCGUGCUUAACGCAUGCAAGUCGAACGGAAAGGCCCUGCUUGCAGGGUGCUCGAGUGGCGAACGGGUGAGUAACACGUGGGUGAUCUGCCCCUUACUUUGGGAUAAGCCUGGGAAACUGGGUCUAAUACUGGAUAGGACCAUGCUGUAGGUGGUGUGGUGGAAAGAUUAGUUUCGGUAAGGGAUGAGCUCGCGGCCUAUCAGCUUGUUGGUGGGGUAAUGGCCUACCAAGGCGUCGACGGAUAGCCGGCCUGAGAGGGUGGACGGCCACAUUGGGACUGAGAUACGGCCCAGACUCCUACGGGAGGCAGCAGUGGGGAAUAUUGCACAAUGGGCGCAAGCCUGAUGCAGCGACGCCGCGUGGGGGAUGACGGCCUUCGGGUUGUAAACUCCUUUCAGCCAUGACGAAGCCCUUGUGGUGACGGUAGUGGUAGAAGAAGCACCGGCUAACUACGUG
RNAcentral lists this ribosomal RNA (469 nucleotides) under uncultured bacterium. RNAcentral describes it as "partial 16S ribosomal RNA". It matches the Rfam family "Bacterial small subunit ribosomal RNA", at positions 28 to 507 of the family's 1533-position model. The record is from RNAcentral.